RNAcentral lists this ribosomal RNA (425 nucleotides) under uncultured bacterium. RNAcentral describes it as "partial 16S ribosomal RNA". It matches the Rfam family "Bacterial small subunit ribosomal RNA", at positions 354 to 796 of the family's 1533-position model. The record is from RNAcentral.
GUGGGGAAUCUUGCGCAAUGGGCGAAAGCCUGACGCAGCCAUGCCGCGUGAAUGAUGAAGGUCUUAGGAUUGUAAAAUUCUUUCACCGGGGACGAUAAUGACGGUACCCGGAGAAGAAGCUCCGGCUAACUUCGUGCCAGCAGCCGCGGUAAUACGAAGGGGGCUAGCGUUGCUCGGAAUUACUGGGCGUAAAGGGCGCGUAGGCGGACAGCUUAGUCAGAGGUGAAAGCCCAGGGCUCAACCUUGGAAUUGCCUUUGAUACUGGCUGUCUUGAGUUUGGGAGAGGUGAGUGGAACUCCGAGUGUAGAGGUGAAAUUCGUAGAUAUUCGGAAGAACGCCAGUGGCGAAGGCGACUCACUGGCCCAAUACUGACGCUGAGGCGCGAAAGCGUGGGGAGCAAACAGGAUUAGAUACCCGAGUAGUCC